AGAGUGAACGCUGGCGGUAGGCCUAACACAUGCAAGUCGAACGGCAGCACAGUGGUAGCAAUACCAUGGGUGGCGAGUGGCGGACGGGUGAGGAAUACAUCGGAAUCUACCUUUUCGUGGGGGAUAACGUAGGGAAACUUACGCUAAUACCGCAUACGCCCUUCGGGGGAAAGCCGGGGAUCGCAAGACCUGGCGCGGAUAGAUGAGCCGAUGUCGGAUUAGCUAGUUGGUGAGGUAAUGGCUCACCAAGGCGACGAUCCGUAGCUGGUCUGGAGAGGAUGAUCAGCC
This 288-nucleotide ribosomal RNA is filed under the name uncultured soil bacterium. RNAcentral's name for it is "partial 16S ribosomal RNA". It matches the Rfam family "Bacterial small subunit ribosomal RNA", at positions 26 to 309 of the family's 1533-position model. The record is from RNAcentral.